Molecule: transfer RNA, 66 nt
Filed under: Flustra foliacea (greater hornwrack)
Lineage: Eukaryota; Metazoa; Bryozoa; Gymnolaemata; Cheilostomatida; Flustridae
Description: tRNA-Trp
Source: RNAcentral
AGUGCUUUAAGUUAGUUAAACUGUCAACCUUCAAAUUUGGAAUCAAGAGUGUUCUCUUAAGCAUUA